UACGAAGGGGGCUAGCGUUGCUCGGAAUCACUGGGCGUAAAGCGCACGUAGGCGGCUUCUUAAGUCAGGGGUGAAAUCCUGGAGCUCAACUCCAGAACUCCCUUUGAUACUGAGGAGCUUGAGUCCGGGAGAGGUGAGUGGAACUGCGAGUGUAGAGGUGAAAUUCGUAGAUAUUCGCAAGAACACCAGUGGCGAAGGCGGCUCACUGGCCCGGUACUGACGCUGAGGUGCGAAAGCGUGGGGAGCAAACAGG
Molecule: ribosomal RNA, 253 nt
Filed under: uncultured bacterium
Lineage: Bacteria
Description: partial 16S ribosomal RNA
Rfam family: Bacterial small subunit ribosomal RNA
Source: RNAcentral